CCUACGGGGCGCAGCAGUGGGGGAUAUUGCACAAUGGGGGAAACCCUGAUGCAGCGACGCCGCGUGAGUGAAGAAGAAUUUCGGUAUGUAAAGCUCUAUCAGCAGGGACGAAAAUGACGGUACCUGAGUAAGAAGCCCCGGCUAACUACGUGCCAGCAGCAGCGGUAAUACGAAGGGGGCAAGCGUUAUCCGGAUUUACUGGGUGUACAGGGAGCGUAGACGGUUAUGCAAGUCUGAAGUGAAAGGCGGGG
This 251-nucleotide ribosomal RNA is filed under the name uncultured bacterium. RNAcentral's name for it is "partial 16S ribosomal RNA". It matches the Rfam family "Bacterial small subunit ribosomal RNA", at positions 338 to 606 of the family's 1533-position model. The record is from RNAcentral.